GUGUGGCAAUUCUAUUCACGCCAUUUUGCCCACGGUACUAUCCGGCGCUAGCGAAAAUCGCGCGAUUUGAUUGGUCGGAUCCGGACGAGAUUUCUGUUGAUGAUACCUUUCGUACAUCAUGCUAUUGCGACGAUAAGUGGCGUGAUGCGCUGCUGCUGGGUACGUUGUCAUGGUAACCACGCCGGCGCUCCUCUGUUAUUUCAGUUUCGGCUUGAUUGGGCUUGAUGGGCUUGGUAUUUUGAGAUUUUGAGCUUAUUGUUCAUUGAUGUGAAGUGUAGAUCUUUUUAAUUUUUACUGACCUGUUUUAUAUUAAUAUUUGUAUAUACCUAUUUCUAUUUCUCUAUCUAACUCGGCCAGAUGCCCAAUAUAAGGGCUGGUCGGGUUUUCCGGCCUAGGAUUAACACCGAGGAGGAUCUAACUCCGGAGAAGUUCAGAGAGAGAUUCCGACUAACCUCGGACGUAGUGGGCCAGAUAGUCCGAGUAAUUGAAGACGACAUCAGUCACCCUACCAGGCGAAACAUGGCCCUGACACCGAGGCAGCAAGUGCUGGUCACCCUGAGGGCAGCUUCUCCGCUGCGUCAUCAAGACACAAUCAUCAGCAAGCUCAUCUCAGGGCUGUGGAUGAAGACGACGGCCUGCAAAGCUACAUCCUUGCAUGACCUUAGUCUUAAGGCUCCUUCCUCCAGCUCCUCUGCUGACUUCAUGCUCCUCUCUUCACUUCAAUUCUUCAGCAUGACAAAACAAAUCUUUCACAGCAAACUGCAGCAUCUUGGUUUUGGAGCUUCUUGGCAUUCUCUUUCGAUACAUUACACGGUUUACAUUUCAUCACAUUGCAUUACUUGGUCAUAGUCGCAAUGAUUUGUUGCCACUGCUGCCAAAUGAUGACAAUCUCUUCCAUCCCUUUAUGCACCUUGUCCCUUUAUCCACCUUGUGCCCUUCUGUUAUGCUUCUGAAUCUUUACUUAUUUCUCUUCAAUGUCUGCUAAGAUAUCCUAAGUCCUAACAAAUAUUUCAAUAUAUGUUUCAGCUUAUGAGGAAUCCUAGAACCCAUGUGUAUCUUCUUGUCAGUGACACAUGUAGCUAGCUGAGUUUGACUCUUUCUCAAAUGCUCGAGUCCAGCUUUCUGAACCUGAAGUGUUGCUAUUUCUUUGAUUUGUCAUACAUUUUGACAUGCAGCUGCGGGCACUGAUGUGUGCCUCUGUGAUUGAAGAAAUAGGCAUAAUGUUUUGCAUGUCCUAGUUUGCUUCCAGCCUCAUACAGUAAAUUGUGCCUGGGCUCUGAAGGACCAUAGCAUGCCACCUAGGUACAAUUACAUAGCAAAGGACAUUCAUCAUGCUGUACCUUACCCCUUGUAGGUACCUUUCAUCAGUUGAUCAAUGCUUUUCUGUGGAAUACGACUAUCCCAACCAUUCCAGCUUCAUAAUGCAAAAUAUGACAAAACAAAUGAUCCGAAACAUGUCCCCAGGUUCCUGGCCACCGGCAGUUUUUACACGGUGGUCGGUGACGCCCACGGUCCUAGCCGCGCCACCAUCCACCGCACCAUACAUCGUGUGAUGGCUGCCUUGGUACACAGGCUGUUGGGGUUGAUAAGUUUCCCUCAGACCAGGGAGGCCUGCCGCGCCGUGCAGCUGCGCUUCUUCGAGAUGGGCGGCCUGCCAGAUGUCAUCGGGUGCAUAGACGGCUGCCACGUGCAGAUCCGAGCCCCAGCGAGGGAGGAGAACGCGUUCAUUAACAGACACCAGCAAACUUCCCUUAACGUCAUGGCGGUUGCCGGGCCCGACGGAAAGUUUUUUGCCGUCAGCGCCCAUGCUGGGGGUCGGCAGCACGACUCCCGGGUUCUGGCGACAUCCGGCCUCCCAGAGAGGCUGGAGAGGAACGCCCUGGUACCUGUCGAGGAGCCCGUCAUCUUGGGAGACAGUGCCUAUCCAAGCCGCACGUGGCUGCUUACUCCCAUAGACCGACCAACCACUGAGGCCGAAGAACGGGCCCAACACAUGCUGCUGGCAGCAGUAUGGAUGCUGCUUCAACUCGACAUAGACUUGGGGAGCAAGACUGGACGCCGACCAGCAUAACAUACAAUAUGCUAUCCACAUUUAUUUUUCAGCAUGCCAUCGCUAUUAAAACGAUUGAUGUGAUUUGAUCUUAUGCAAGCCUCUUUCACGACUUGACCUCUUCUUUGGUUUCAGUCUUCUUUGCUGGCUGUGCACUUUCUCUGGAAUGUCUUGUUACCUUCUUCGUCCACAUAUGCCAUCCUCAUUUCUUUUUCAGCAUGCCAUCGCUAUUAAAACAAUUGAUGUGAUUUGAUCUUAUGCAAGCCUCUUUCACGACUUGACCUCUUCUUCGAUUUCAGUCUUCUUUGCUGGCUGUUCACUUUUGCUGGAAUGUCUUGUUACCUUCUUCGUACUUGCACAUACAAUUUAUAUCAAUGGCAGUGUGCAUGGAUCUUCUUUCUCAGUAAUGUAUGCUGUCUUACCCCAGAAAUACCAGUGUUUGAACAGUGAGAAGAGUGUGGUGCACAAUGUCAAGCUCAUAGCAUGAAUACCUUUCGGGGUUUGCCUUAUGCUUUAUUGUCACCAUCCGGAUUGAGAAUGUCAUGCACACUUCUGCAGCUUUUCUGUUGAUGGACAGCACUUCCCAGUUCAGCUUCAAAUCACUAUUGAGGGCCAGCAAUAUGUGCUGUGUUUCUUCUGCACGUUCCUGUCGCAUCCUUCACGCACUUACAUCCCAGGAUUUUGCCCGUUCAUUGUCUGUUGGUUAUUUGUACGUUCAUUCUUUAUCAUAUGGAAAGUAAUGUAUUUAUGGAUGUUUUUCUUUCAUUCAACUAAUGUUCACCUGCAUUUCAAUUUUAUGUCGGCAUUGGCAGGUACAACCGCGCGCACUGCCGCACACGCGUCUCGGUGGAGCAGGCCUUCGGGCAACUGAAGAUGAGGUGGGCGUGCCUCCAAGGCAGCGGGCUGCGGCUCCGACGUGUCGCCGACUCGGUUUUGGCGGUGAUGUCGUGCUGCGUACUGCACAACAUCGCCAAAUUGGCCGGCGACGGAGGCGAAUGGUUGGACCACGAGCGCGACGCCAGAGCGCCGCAGCCUGUCGAGCCGGUGGCCCGGCAGCGUGAGCCAGAGGCAGCGGAGGCGGAGCCAGAAGCAGCUGUGAGGCGCAGAGCUUUCGCUCGGCGCGCGCAGUUUGUCAGGAGGUUCCUGCGGUAGACAGCCGCACGAUGCCAGCCGCCAAUGUGAAGCGUCAGUGUCACGUCUCUCGUGUUUCACGGCCGCCGCUUGCACGCCGUCCGCACACGCGGCAAAUUUGGUUUCCACGGAGACAUCAACAAACUCCAACGCUCCAAAACUAUCACAUCCUGUGACAUCAGCUACCGAAAUGCGCUAGCAGCGUGGUAGCAGCUUCCGUUGUAACACCGCCCAGUUGGUGGUCCACCGGCCGACUGGCCGGUGAGCGGCUGACUGCCUGGAUCCGCCCUCCAGUCACGGUACCAGGCGUGGCCCGGGCGGCGUUACAACGGAAGCUGCUACCACGUUGCUAGCGCAUUUCGGUAGCUGAUGUCACAGGAUGUGAUAGUUUUGGAGCGUUGGAGUUUGUUGAUGUCUCCGUGGAAACCAAAUUUGCCGCGUGUGCGGAUGGCGUGCAAGCGGCGGCUGUGGAACGCCGCCCAGCCGGACGGGUGGCACCGCGUGUCAGCCGGUAGGUUGACCUGGGUAAGCGCAGCCUGUCAUUUGGACCUUUGCUA
Amphibalanus amphitrite is the source of this 3738-nucleotide RNA transcript. It is a transcript of the gene named putative nuclease HARBI1, with no coding region annotated. The record is from RefSeq and is a predicted model, not a curated record. The transcript is spliced from 7 exons. Lineage: Eukaryota; Metazoa; Arthropoda; Thecostraca; Balanomorpha; Balanidae.